AGAGUUUUUAUAUACCUUGGUAUCUUGGUUAGGCUGCCGUGGGAGAUCAAGAUUGGUUUGCAUAGGUCAAGAUAUUUAGAGGAAAUAAUUUUUUUUUUCGUUAGCUCACUCUGCAUAUUGAUUAAUGAUAUCAAUAUCACGUUAAAAUUUUUGACGAUUCAAAUAUAGCCAAAGUACCUAUCUACUUCCCCUGAACUGUGGACAGUUUCUAUUUACAGGCAAGGCUGACUGAGGAAGAUUUAAUUAAUUCGAUCAAUUCAAUCAAAGGGUAGUUAUCAUGAGUGUACCUGAGCCUGAGGUGGGUCAAGUCAUAGUGGUGGUUGAAGCUCCUUCAUCUUCAGCUGAUCAGGAAACCACAACAAGAAACACUCUGGUCAAGCCAACUGCAAUGAAAAAAAGUGCAGAAUGUAAUAAAAACAAGCGCAAGACAAUAGUAUGGGAGCGCCUGGAAAAACUUCCUUCAGCAAAGGCCUUUCAGCAGUGGUUAACAAAACAGGCGGCCGCAGGCAGGAAGUACCGCAAGAAGAGGUCAAGAAUUACUGGGCGGGGAUUUACGGAUUUCUACAGCUGUUCAGGCGUUGGAUGCCCAGUGCAGCUGGAGGUUUUGUUUAUUGACAGCUCAGAGGAUGUCAUCGUCUCAUACAAUGGGGAAACGCACAGCCAUGGCACAAAACCCCACUCUGGCUGGGGCCUGCCUGACAAGGUCAAAGAGGAGGUGCAGCGGCUGUUUCAGGCAGGCAUUACGAACGUCCCCGAGAUCGACUCCCGCCUUCAGAAGCUCGGCCACACUGAAUACACUGUGAAGCAGCUGAGUAGUUACACGAUUCGCCUGAGGCGCCUGUCCCGCGACCAGGAGGUCACCCAGGAGUACUCGCCGUUCAGCGUGUGGGCCGGCGGCGACCGGUCCUCCCAGGAGGAGUCUCGGGUGGCGGAGUCGGAGGACCGGGGGGACUUCUCGCCCUCGGCGGCCGACCACCAGGACGUCGAGUUGUCCGACUACUCGGCGCCACCCUCGCCGCCGCGCCGAUCAGCGACCCAGGGCGCCGGCACUCGCGGAUCCCGCCGACCACGGCCAGUCAUGGACGAGGGCACCGUUCGCCGCCUGGUGGACGCCAGUCUGGCGGCCCGCAGCCACUCGUACAGUCCGUACAGCCAGUUCCCGGUGGGUGCCGCGCUGCUCUGCGCCGACGGCCGCAUCGUCACCGGCUGCAACGUGGAGAACGCUUCGUUCGGGCUGACCAACUGCGCGGAGCGGACGGCCGUCUACAAGGCCGUGUCAGAGGGCCAGCGCCAGUUCUCCGCCGUCGCCAUCGCCGCCGAGAUGGGCGACAAGUUCGUCGGACCGUGCGGCGCCUGUAGACAGGUUCUCGCCGAGUUCAACGCCGAAAUGCCAGUGAUCCUGGCCAAACCCAACGGCGACAUCUCCCGCACCAACAUGAGGGACCUGCUGCCGAUGGCCUUCCUGCCGGAGGAGGUCACCUUCAAGAAGGACUGAGCCGAUGGCCUUCCUGCCGGAGGAGGUCACCUUCAAAAAGGACUGAGCCGAUGGCCUUCCUGCCGGAGGAGGUCACCUUCAAAAAGGACUGAGCCGAUGGCCUUCCUGCCGGAGGAGGUCACCUUCAAGAAGGACUGAGCCGAUGGCCUUCCUGCCGGAGGAGGUCACCUUCAAGAAGGACUGAGCCGAUGGCCUUCCUGCCGGAGGAGGUCACCUUCAAGAAGGACUGAGCCGAUGGCCUUCCUGCCGGAGGAGGUCACCUUCAAGAAGGACUGAGCCGAUGGCCUUCCUGCCGGAGGAGGUCACCUUCAAGAAGGACUGAGCCGAUGGCCUUCCUGCCGGAGGAGGUCACCUUCAAGAAGGACUGAGCGCCGCCCCAUCCAUUCGGGUACCAAUGUCUGUCGCCCCAGCUGGGAUGGAACUCUAUAUGAACUGAGUGUUUACGGUGGGGUUUUGGACCGCCGCAACAGCCAUCACUGCCGGGGAAUGGCCACUCGGUACACAGCCAUCAGCCGGCCGUGGUUGCUGACGGCGGCCACGUUUGUAGCAGAGGCAGUAGAAAUGUGUUGGAAUCUAGAUGCUGGGUUUGAGGGAGGGAGGGAGGGAGGGGAGGGGGGACACCGCCUGCCAGGGAUGACCUAUAACCAUUUAUUUGUAUUGACGUUUUUUUUUUUGUUCGCCGCGUUGUUUAGCAAUUACAGCUGAGCACGCCUUAGGCUCCGCCUAGACCGCUGAAUAUACCUGACCGCUUGUUUUUACAA
Molecule: unclassified non-coding RNA, 2256 nt
Filed under: Amphibalanus amphitrite
Lineage: Eukaryota; Metazoa; Arthropoda; Thecostraca; Balanomorpha; Balanidae
Description: uncharacterized LOC122377961, transcript variant X3
Source: RNAcentral